Molecule: RNA transcript, 3050 nt
Organism: Solanum tuberosum (potato)
Lineage: Eukaryota; Viridiplantae; Streptophyta; Magnoliopsida; Solanales; Solanaceae
Gene name: CTD small phosphatase-like protein 3
Exons: 2
Source: RefSeq, a predicted model, not a curated record
GGGAUCACUUGUGGUCCUAGGUCUCGUGUCCGCGUCUCGGGGGUUGCUCGGGGCGUGACAAAACUAUUGAGGGUACAAAUCAACUGGUGAUUUCUCGAAGCUUGCUACCAAACGAGGAGAUGCCAAGCGUGCAAGGCUAAGAAGUUUCUUAAAGGGGAAUACCAGUUGAUGUUCAAGUUUAUUAACAAAGUAAUGGUGCCCCAAACUGAAAAGACAACAGUGGCUUCUGCUGCCGAUCUUUUCCUCAUGGAAAAGCUUGAUAAGCUUGAGGAAAUCAACCUCCCUGUUAUUAUGCUGGAACAUAUGCAUAGAGUAAUAACAUGGAAGAAUGCCAAGCACGGCAUUCCCUAUGGGUAUUUGCUAAACUUUGUCUUUAACCAUUUUGAAGUUCCAGUGGGAAAAUGGGUACCUGGUACCACCAAGCAGAUGUUCACUAUGUCUACUCUACUAGAAUGCGAGUGCAUUGAGGGACAUGCUAGGGGAAGAUCUCAAGUGGCGGAUGUACUGGAGCAGCAGGCUACUCUUAAGAGGAGGUGACUGAUCUUACCACGAUUCUGAGUGACAAGGAAGUUGAAAUCACUAGGCUCAAGCCUGAAUUGCAGAAAGUUGUUUCCAGAGGACCUGUUACCAAUGAGGGUCAUGAGCAGGUGCUCAAAGAGUUGAGGGAUGGAAAUAAAGUGCUGCUAGAGACAAAUGUCUCUCUCAAUGAGGAAAUUAAGUCCCUAAACAGGCAACUGAUACAGGCCCAUGAAAAUGCAAACGAGCGCAUGAUGAUGUUGAUGUGCACUUUUAAUUCCUCCCAUCCUCCGUCCUAAAUGUGUCAUGUCUCUCUAGUUGUUGUUUCUUUGUUCCACCUUAUUAUCCUAAACUUUUGUGGCUUUGUGUUGUUUAGAUUGACUACAGUGGUCAGUAUUUGUGAUGUAAUGCUACUUAUGUUUUUGCCUUGUUCAUGUGUGGUUUGAUUAUCUCUUCAUGUUGUCAUACGCAUGUUCUGUGUGGCCCAUGGCCCUGAAUUCUUGCAUGCCUCGCAUUUUAACUUGAAUACGUUUACUGCUCCACCUUUUCAAUGAUGUCAAAAGGGGGAAAACUUUUGUUUGCAUCUUGUUAGGGGGAACUGAUUAAAUGGGGAAUCGAUUAAGGGGGAACACCAGUGAUAGAAAUUGAAUGAAUGUUUGUUCACUCAUGAGGAGUGAAUGAAAAUUGUUUGUCAUCAUCAAAAUGGGGGAAAUUGAUAAAGACUAAUGUUCCUAGAUGUUUUGAUGAUAUCCUCACAAGUGCAGGGACCUGGUCCUCUGCAGAGUAUGAAUACUCGUCUAGUGUCAAAGUGCUGAAUAGCUGUAAAACUGUCCGCGUCAGAAAGUUGGUGAAGCAGCAGAGUACUUCACCAAUCAGAAGCGACGAGGUUGUUUGUACGUUGGCUAAUGAUUCCUCAUGGUAUAUAUCAAACAACAAACAACAUUAUUCAUCAUUCAUUCAAAGAGAGAUACUUUCAAGCUUCAAAAUAGCAAGGGACCUGAUACAAGUGUUUCUAUUUGCUUUCAGUACCAGUUGCAUUUGUCUGCUUGUAAUAGUGCUUAUAUUGUAAGAUUUGUUUCACUUGUGAAAGAAAUGUUUCAAACUUGUGUGAAUCAUUGUAAGAACUAGGUUAAGGGUAACUUAGUUUCUUACUCUAAAGUCUAUACUAAUCGAUUAGAAUUAGAAUAGUGGGCAGUGUUGUAUCUGAUCUGGCUCAGCUAAGUAAUAUGAGGUAUUGCUUAGAGCUGAGAUUAGUAGGCUAAUCUCAGUUUGUAAACUGACUUUUACUUUUGCUUGAGAAGAUUAGUGAAAACAAUUUGAAAAGUCAUGGCAGGCUAGGUCGUGGUUUUACUCCGUUGAGCAAGAAGAUUUGCACGUAAAGUUGAUUGUCAUUCUUUACUUCCAGCAUUUGUUGUUUACUGUUUAUUUUGAUUGUGUUGAGGACCUGGUCCCAUUUACAUAGGUGGACGCAUACAUUCCAACAUGAAUGCAUAUCCAUCUUAUUCGCAUUCAUAUGAGUCUUAAGUCUUGACAAUGUGGAUAUGUUAUUUUUGGAGACCCAACAUCCGUUCCCAUAUAAUGUUGUUGUUCUUACAACCAUUUUACAGGGCCUAACUACAUCUCUGACUCCAAACACACUACAUUUUUUCCCCUAGUAAGUGCAAAAUUCCCAAUACUUAUCCAUCCUAUCAAGAGUACUACUAUAACAUUGAUACAUUUGUUUUUGACUCUAUGUAUCUGCAGUCUCUUCCACUCAAAACAUGCCUAGUUCUCUUUCAACCAUAUUGUUCUCAGUAUGCAAUUUGGAAUAAUCUUACAUAUCUGCUUCAAGCCCCCUUCUAACUUUUUAAACUGCCAAACUUCCAAAGGGCUGUUGAUCUUCUGUGGUAAUACCAAAUAUAUGCCCAUGAUGCUAAAGAAAAGUUCCCAGCAUUGUCUUGAGAAGCUGCUAUGUAAGAAUACCUGAUCAACUGUUUCCUACUCAGAAUUACAUAAAUAACAUCUGUUGCACAAUGAAUAACCUCUCGUUUGCAAGUUGUUCUUUGAUCAUUCCAGGAAGGAGGUCUUAUUCUUGGGAAAGACUGAAAUAGAAAGCAAAGCAAAGUAAAUAGUCUACAAGCAGAACAAAAAACUAGAAGGUUUUUCGAUUGCAAGUGAAUAAUGGAAUUACUAUGAUCAAGAAUUGGUUUGAUGACCCCAUCAGACUCUGCACUAAUGUUAGCAUCCUUUUAGUCUACCAAUAGUUUUAUGCAUGGAAAGUUUAAUCAGAAAGUUGAUUAAAUCAACAACUAUUAUUUAUGUUUUUUAGUUUUCUCUGUAGGUCUUCUGUAAAAGGUGUUUUCCCUGUAGCAGUUGUUUUUCUCUGUAGUAGUUAUUAGCAAUAAUGAGGUUAUUCCUCCACUUUCUCAUUUCAGUUGUAGUAGGAAGUUAUUUCCUUGUUGUUAUUAGGUGGGUGGUUAAUCCACCAAUGUUGUAUUUAAGUUAUUUUAAUUCAAUGGAAACGGGAAGCAGAAAAUUAGUCAAGUUUUUGAGUA